Rattus norvegicus (Norway rat) is the source of this 431-nucleotide non-coding RNA. Lineage: Eukaryota; Metazoa; Chordata; Mammalia; Rodentia; Muridae. The record is from RefSeq and is a predicted model, not a curated record.
GCCAAGUACUCACUUACCAAGCAGGAAAGAAGAGACUCAAAAAAAAUGCAUAAGGACCACUGUGACUGCCUAGACGGACAUCACCAGCAUGAGUAUGAAAUGAUCCACACUGCUCUAAAUCUGGCCAGAGGAAAAUUCCUCUAGAGAUGAUAUGUGUACAGUGUGAAUCCUGGUGCCGACAGAAGACCGAGAGGUUUAUGGCUCCGCUGGAACUGAAGUAAGUGGCGAUUGUAAACUGCUGUUGAGCACUGGGAACUGAACCCAGGUCCUCCGUAAGAGCAGCAAGUGUUCUCCAGCCUGCUGUGUACCUUCUUUAAAGACAGCCGGAGUCCGUACAAUCUCAAGACAAUAAAAAGAAAUCCGGUAAUAGGGAGACAGGGCACAGGGCAGUGUGGGAUUGCAUGUGAAAGAAGCCAAGGGCAUACCCAGGA